GGUUAAUUAUUUGGAGUUGAAAAAGUAUUUUAUUCAAAUAGAUAUAUAGCCCUAAAGGCAUUUAUAGGGCAAAUGUAUUUUUAUAUAUUUUAUUUUGAGGGGAAACUACUCCCAAAAGUUGUAUCAUGGUAGGACAUGAUUUUACAAAUUUUCUGGUUUUUAUUUGGACCAAUUUGGAGUUCAAACUCAAAAGAUAUCAAAGACAUAAGAAAAGGCAAAAAGAAAAAAAAGGGGUAAACCGGACCGGCCCGGCC
This 254-nucleotide long non-coding RNA is filed under the name Brachypodium distachyon (stiff brome). Its description in RNAcentral is "long non-coding RNA (BDIS_LNC004558)". Lineage: Eukaryota; Viridiplantae; Streptophyta; Magnoliopsida; Poales; Poaceae. The record is from RNAcentral.